AGCAGCUUGCUGCUUCGCUGACGAGUGGCGGACGGGUGAGUAAUGUCUGGGAAGCUGCCUGAUGGAGGGGGAUAACUACUGGAAACGGUAGUUAAUACCGCAUAAUGUCGCAAGACCAAAGAGGGGGACCUUCGGGCCUCUUGCCAUCGGAUGCGCCCAGAUGGGAUUAGCUUGUUGGUGGGGUAACGGCUCACCAAGGCGACGAUCCCUAGCUGGUCUGAGAGGAUGACCAGCCACACUGGAACUGAGACACGGUCCAGACUCCUACGGGAGGCAGCAGUGGGGAAUAUUGCACAAUGGGCGCAAGCCUGAUGCAGCCAUGCCGCGUGUAUGAAGAAGGCCUUCGGGUUGUAAAGUACUUUCAGCGGGGAGGAAGGGAGUAAAGUUAAUACCUUUGCUCAUUGACGUUACCCGCAGAAGAAGCACCGGCUAACUCCGUGCCAGCAGCCGCGGUAAUACGGAGGGUGCAAGCGUUAAUCGGAAUUACUGGGCGUAAAGCGCACGCAGGCGGUUUGUUAAGUCAGAUGUGAAAUCCCCGGGCUCAACCUGGGAACUGCAUCUGAUACUGGCAAGCUUGAGUCUCGUAGAGGGGGGUAGAAUUCCAGGUGUA
RNAcentral lists this ribosomal RNA (610 nucleotides) under uncultured bacterium. Its description in RNAcentral is "bacterial SSU rRNA". It matches the Rfam family "Bacterial small subunit ribosomal RNA", at positions 74 to 677 of the family's 1533-position model. The record is from RNAcentral.